This 534-nucleotide long non-coding RNA is filed under the name Fukomys damarensis (Damara mole-rat). Its description in RNAcentral is "lncRNA (ENSFDAG00000030128.1)". The record is from RNAcentral. Lineage: Eukaryota; Metazoa; Chordata; Mammalia; Rodentia; Bathyergidae.
GCCGGGUGUUCCGCAGAGGCGGAGAAGGGAGCAAGGCCACUGAGGUGAGGGGGUGGGGCCAUGAGAGGGGCCACACAGACACCAACAGAUCCGCACAUCCCCUUGGAAGUGUGAAGAGGAAGCAGGGGCCUAAAAGAUGAGAUUCUUAUUCAGAGAACUUCUAUGAGCUCCACUGGAGUGCAGUGUUGUGGGAUGGUUUCCAUGGCAACCCCCUGCCGUCCUCCCCAGAGACCACAAGGACAGCUUCCAAAGCUCCUUCAGGUCCAGGCUGAGGCUUCCCCACCCCAGCAACCACCCCAAGGGCCCACCACUGCACACUAUGUUAGGACCCAUGCACGCACCAGGUACUGUGUGUGCCCGGACAUGUCCAGACUCAAGUUCUGUCUCUUACCUGAAGGGAUUAUGGUAUGAACGCAUCAUCUUGGAAGCAAACCGUCCAUCCCCAGGUAAGGCUUCACCUAAGUGCUUACAGCCUGCUGAUGUGUGACUUGCAAACCCUACUCUUUCAUCAGAAAUGACAGAGCCCAAGCCAGA